Molecule: ribosomal RNA, 229 nt
Filed under: uncultured bacterium
Lineage: Bacteria
Description: partial 16S ribosomal RNA
Rfam family: Bacterial small subunit ribosomal RNA
Source: RNAcentral
UACGUAGGCGGAAAAUUAAGUCAGUAGUGAAAUCCUGCAGCUUAACUGUAGAACUGUUAUUGAUACUGGUUUUCUUGAAUAUAGUUGAGGUAGGCGGAAUGUGUAAUGUAGCGGUGAAAUGCUUAGAUAUUACACAGAACACCGAUUGCGAAGGCAGCUUACUAAGCUAUGAUUGACGCUGAGGCACGAAAGCGUGGGGAGCGAACAGGAUUAGAUACCCUGGUAGUCC